Molecule: long non-coding RNA, 1084 nt
Filed under: Equus asinus (donkey)
Lineage: Eukaryota; Metazoa; Chordata; Mammalia; Perissodactyla; Equidae
Description: lncRNA (ENSEASG00005036594.1)
Source: RNAcentral
UCGGAAGUUCAAAUAUGUAGCAGUACAUUUGGGAGUUCUUGGGUAGUACGGCCUGCAUUUGCUCUGCAGAUGGGAAUUAUUGUGUCACCCAGAAAAGGCAUCUACUACAGUUGACACCCAGCAGUACCCCUGGGAGCGGGGAGGAGGGUCUGUAGAGUCUAUUUACCAGGACUGGCAGGUCCAGUGCACUGGACUGUGCGCCCUGGAGCUCCCUUCGUCACUUGACAGUGGAGCUGGAAUCAGGCACGUUAACCAGUCUUCCUUGGCCUCGUGUGUUGGCAUCGCCAGGCUUCGAUUUGUAGCUUGAAUUGCCAGGCCCCGUGUGAUGGUGCAUCCAGGUGGCUGUGGUCUUUACCUUGAUGAUGCAGAAUUGGUCAGCUUGUGGGUCCCACUGAUGUUCAUUGCCAAAGGGUCCUUGUCCAUGGACGUCCAUAUGGGUCAUGAACAGACGGCGUGAGUCUGGUGUAGUCUGCUGCCACAAUGUUUGUCCCUACAGGGGUUGGGACUUGAUCAUCCAGUUGUCCCAUUGUCAGGUGCCUGACUACACCAAUGGCCUAUUGCCUACCAGCUACAAGGUGGAAGUCAAAGAUCCGAUGCAGACUAAGCUGGGGCCAGAGCUCCAUGGAGUGUGGCCGUUUUUCCUGUAAGAAAAACUUCUGACGGGAGUUACAAAUCCAGCACACAGUGACGGCUUCUGCGUCAGAAACAGACUUCAGCUUGUGAGGGACAGCGCUUCUCUUCUUGACUGCCAGAGCUCUGGCACUGGGAAUCUGUCCAGGUCGUUCAAGACGCUCCUUGGCAAGCAGACCCCUGGGUUUUGUUGGGGUCUCGCAGCCGCCCCUGCUGGUGGAGGUGUGGUAACGCCAGGUUGUUAAGACUGAGGCUGCCGACCUGUCAACACGAAGACUUCAUCUACACAGUGAAAACUUGGUUCUUCAGAGAGCAGAGGCACUGCCACUGAAUUCUGACCCAACCACUGGUGGCACGUGGCAGGGGGGUUGUCCCACUGGCACUUUUUUACCUGUGGCUGUGCCCUGAGCCGUGGAACCUCCCCUACCUCGCGUGAGCAUUUACAGGACAAGCG